AGUGAACGCUGGCGGUAGGCCUAACACAUGCAAGUCGAACGGCAGCACAGUAAGAGCUUGCUCUUACGGGUGGCGAGUGGCGGACGGGUGAGGAAUACAUCGGAAUCUACUUUUUCGUGGGGGAUAACGUAGGGAAACUUACGCUAAUACCGCAUACGACCUACGGGUGAAAGCAGGGGAUCUUCGGACCUUGCGCGAUUGAAUGAGCCGAUGUCGGAUUAGCUAGUUGGCGGGGUAAAGGCCCACCAAGGCGACGAUCCGUAGCUGGUCUGAGAGGAUGAUCAGCCACACUGGAACUGAGACACGGUCAAGACUCCUACGGGAGGCAGCAGUGGGGAAUAUUGGACAAUGGGCGCAAGCCUGAUCCAGCCAUACCGCGUGGGUGAAGAAGGCCUUCGGGUUGUAAAGCCCUUUUGUUGGGAAAGAAAAGCAGCAGGUUAAUACCCCGCUGUUCCGACGGUACCCAGAGAAUAAGCACCGGCUAACUUCGUG
Molecule: ribosomal RNA, 492 nt
Filed under: uncultured bacterium
Lineage: Bacteria
Description: partial 16S ribosomal RNA
Rfam family: Bacterial small subunit ribosomal RNA
Source: RNAcentral